AAGCGCUAGCAGUCUAGAGGUUUUUGAUAAGAACAUAGCACAGUCAAAAGAUUGUCAUCGUAAUGCAACCAUUCAUAUCUAUAGCCAUAAUCAAAAGUAUCAUAGUCUUCAUAAACUAUCAACAUAAAUAUUUACCUACGUUUACGAGGUUAGUAUAGUUUUAUUGUGUGAUUAAAUUUUUAAUACUUGUCGGUUAAAUUGUCUACUGUACUGUUUUAACUUUUAAUUGUGGUUUUCUUAUUGUAACAAUGACAAGAAUAUGUGUUGUUUGUAAAAAAUUGUAUACUAAGGGAUCAGAGAAAUCAUUUCAUUUUUUUCCUAAAAAUGAAGAUCGUAAACAAUUUUGGUUAAAAGUGUGUAAUAUGAAAUUGUACUUGCCAUCUUACAAGAUAUGUGAUGGUCAUUUUUUGCCGGAACAUUACCUACCAAGUGAAUAUCUCUAAAAUAAUGCUAUUCCUAGCAUCUACUAGUAUAGUUAUUGAACCUUUGGACAAUCAUGAUAUGUCUAGUCCUUGUCAAAGUCCAAUGAAACGUAAGGUGUUGAAUGCCAACUCAAUUGGAGUUUUUAUCACCAAGUCAUUUUAGAACUCUGAGAAAGGCAAAGAGACAUUUGGACAUGGUGAUGAACAAAUAUAGAGAAAAGCAAAUACAAAAUGAAAAAUCUGAAAAACAAAUAAAAAAGGCUGAAAAAAAAACUCAAUGAUGAUUUUGUUCAAACAUGACACCGAAAACAAUUUUUAACUGACAAUGCAUCUGUUCACUUUCAGAUAACCGUUAAUAAAAUCUAAUAAUCACUGAUGAAGGAAACAAUUUAUAUUGUUUGGUCACAUAGGAACUCACACAUAGUUGUGAAAAUGUAGCACAAAACGUGUGAUCUAUUUUGUGGGCUGUCAGAGACAAGGGAUGGCCCAAUAAGCAUCUCUGUUGUCGGGGAGAAAGCCAAUUUUUUUAAGGACGCGGAGACCUUUGAUGGAGCCACCUGCGACACUGGCAGGCUUGACCACGUCAUCUCCUCUUAUCAGUGCAGGUGCACCGCUCUUUCAAGAGUGCACAGAUAGUAUAAGCUAUAACAUGUAUAUUUUAUUUUAAAAAUACUAUAUGUAUUUUAUAAAUAAUUAUUUAUAUACAUCUUGUAUUGUACUAUCAUAUAAUGUUUACUGUGUUUUAAUAAAUUGUGAAAUUUUACCUACAAUAAUAAAUGUUAAAUAAUUUUAA
RNAcentral lists this long non-coding RNA (1215 nucleotides) under Rhopalosiphum maidis (corn leaf aphid). Its description in RNAcentral is "uncharacterized LOC113548628, transcript variant X4". The record is from RNAcentral. Lineage: Eukaryota; Metazoa; Arthropoda; Insecta; Hemiptera; Aphididae.